RNAcentral lists this ribosomal RNA (384 nucleotides) under Escherichia coli. Its description in RNAcentral is "partial 23S ribosomal RNA". It matches the Rfam family "Eukaryotic large subunit ribosomal RNA", at positions 2484 to 2720 of the family's 3401-position model. Lineage: Bacteria; Pseudomonadati; Pseudomonadota; Gammaproteobacteria; Enterobacterales; Enterobacteriaceae. The record is from RNAcentral.
CGACCUUGAAAUACCACCACUUUCGACAUUGCUUUGCUAAUGCUGUAACGAACGAACGGCCCCCUGGUAUCGGCCCGCGAGGGCAGGUGCUGGGUAAGGUCACAUUCUAGCGCUUUCCAAGCUGACAUGACACCUUAGUCGCUCUAGGUGAGUACUUUGGGACCACAAACUGGGCUUCCGGGUCUGGUGCGUGCUGCUCUCGGGGGAACUAGAGAUGGUUGAGUAGUCCUCUGUUGGCAAAAACGGGUACGUAAGCCGUGUAGCAGACCAUUUGUGUUGGGGAGUUUGGCUGGGGCGGAAAACUGCUACACGGCAACGGCAGUCUCCUAAGGUCCACUCAGAGACGACAGAAACGUCUCGUAGAGCAUAAAGGCAAAAGUGGGC